Amborella trichopoda is the source of this 5534-nucleotide non-coding RNA. Lineage: Eukaryota; Viridiplantae; Streptophyta; Magnoliopsida; Amborellales; Amborellaceae. The record is from RefSeq and is a predicted model, not a curated record.
AAUGGCCUGAACUCUGUGGGCGCUUUGGAGGGAGCCCACUUGCAUUUCCCUAGCAUCUGAAAAUAGUGCAGUUUCCCUUGAAAGAAUGGAAGUGGGAAAUAUCUGAAAGUAGUGUAGUUUCCCUUUUUUGAGAGAGAGAGAGAGAGAGAUGGAAGUGGGAAAGCUUGAGCCUGUUAUUGAGCGGGCUUGGUUCCUAUUUGAGAAGCUCAGCGAUACAAGUAUAACAAUAACAGGGUUGAAAGCCUAAACAGCCACCACCAUCAACAACAAGAAGUUUAUUGUUGGGGCAGCAACAAAGCGACAAUGUGUGAUGAUGGAUACCCCGAUUUACUGGGAAUAGGAGCACAACAACACCCCAAUUGUUGUUAUUCACAUGAUUUCAGUUCCAAAUUGAUGAGAGAGAAUGAUUCUGACGAUUCAUUAAGUGAGAUGAAAAGUCUCUCUUCAAUUAGGGAUGCUUUACACAUUCUGGAAGAACUACUGGAGCUUUUGCAGAGACUGCUUUCACAGCAUCAAUCACAAAGGCAUACGGCCAUACUUAGGCUGGAAGAGAGCCGCCUGUCCCUCCUAAAGAGGCAACAAGCAACUGAUGUGUUGAAAUUCCACAAUCCCAAAUCAAAAGACUCAUUCUCUGAAUGUGCGUAUUGCCCACUUCCUAAGAACGCAUUACCUGAAAACCCAGAAAAUACUCCUGAGCAAAACACUCUGAAAAGUAUUAAUAUGAGGAUGCAUGGUAAGAGGAGGUGGUUAUUUAGCUUAUCUUUUAGGUUUCUGUGGAAUAGAACGAUGUUUCAAAGACUUAUAGUGGUUGCUGGGAGCAUGCUUGCACUGCUUCAACUGCAGAGGGCUGCUGUUAGCGAGCAUGUGGCAAGAAUAGGUGAUGGGAAAUGCAGAAGAAAUGAUUGUUUCUCUAUGAAUUAUAAAGGAGUCGCUGAGAUUGGUAUCCCUUCUCGUAGUUGCAGAAGUUCUUUGGAUGUGUUUCAUAGACGAGGGUGAAAUGUUUUGCAGAUUUAGAGGAUAGUUAUGCUGCUGCUUUACUGAGUUUAGAUCAGGAGGGCAGUGCACCUUUGAGGAAAUAGGUGGAUUUGUGAUUUCGAAAAGCUCAAAGCAAUGGGACGAAGCUGAGAAGGGGAGCUCUCAUAGAUCUACCAUGUGAUCCCAAGGAUGAGGUGAUUUAUCAUCUUAGAAGGCAAGUUCAACGACUUAUGCAGUAGCUCGCAAAUAUCAAUUGUGGGCAAGACAAAGAUCUUUCCACCCAUGAAGAUGUCGAAUUCAAUCAUUUUCAUCGUCACGCUCUGCGUGAGGAGUUGAGUGAUGAGGACAACGACAUAAAGCCUAGAGGUGGGAAGCAUGACUCUAAGGUUUAUGACAUGGAUUAUAUCCUCGACUUUGAUGGUAAGCCUCAACCUGAGGAGUUCAUAGACAGACUAAAUACUCCAAGUAAAGUUUUUGAUUUUAAGGAGGCACUUGAAAAUAAAAAAUAAAAAUUAUUCGCAUAAAAUUGAAGAAAUGUGCCUUGACAUUGUGGGAACAACUUAGAGCUAGAAGGUGGAGAAUGAGAAAGUCCAAAAAUUAAUACCUCGGAGAAAAUGAAAAAGAUUUUAAAGUAGAAAUACUUAAUUAAACUCUAUUUGCAAUCCCUAUAUCAUAGGAUGAAUACCUUUUAUCAAGGAGAAAAGUGUGAAAGAGUACACAAAUGAAUUUUAUCAAUUGAUGGCUUGAAGUAAUGUGUUUGAAAGAGUGGAAUAAUCCCUAGCUCGCUAUGUAGUGGACUGAGAGCAUCUAUACAAGAUUGGUGAUGCUACAAUGUUAUUGGACCUUAGAUGAAGCUUACAACCUUACAGUUAAUGUUGAAGCUUAGCAAAGGCAUCCAUCAUCAAGGUGAGCGUAGCUCAAGGUGGUACAAGUGGUUGUGGAAGCGAUUUUAGAGGAAAAAGUGGGAAUUUGAUGGCUUAACAGAUCUCACGGUCUGUUGGUUCACCCAAAUAGCAGGGUACUGCGGGUACUAGGGGUAGUUCUAGUCGCCCAAAUUGCUUAAAUAAUAACAUUGUUAAGUCCUUUACGUGUUCAUGAAUCAGACACAUCUCUUCUUAGUAUCCGAAUAAGAAGUCGGCUACACUUUUUCUGAAGAAGUUUUUGAAGCGGACAACAAGUUGUCAUUUGAUGGUGAUCCUACUUAUGAUGAAGAACUUGAGGAAGAAGAGCCUAUAGUGACAUUUAAUGACCAUGGGGAGGCUUUGGUGACCUGACGCAACAUGACCAUAACUCUAGUAGUAGACAAGGCUGAAUGGUUGCACACUAAUAUUUUUUCACAUACGAUGCACUGCCCAUGGGAAGGUGUGUAAUCUUAUCAUUGAUAGAGGAAGUUGAAAAAAUAUUAUUUCUUAGAAGACAAUGGACAAGUUGAAAUUUAAGAUGAAAGCCACCGAAAGCCAUACAAGAUAGCUUGGUUCAAGAAAAGAAAUGAGGUAACAGCCUCGUGUCUUUUUCUAUUGCAGAGCACUAUAAAGAUGAGAUAUGGGGUGUUGUCGUAUCUAUGAAUGCAUAUAAUUUAUCGUUAGGUAGACCGUUGCAAUAUGAUAGGCAUACUGUUCAUGAUGGGUUUAAAAAUACCUAUUCCUUUGUCAAAAGGUCCAUCUAAGACGGAAAAUACCUCUAAAUAUGAUAGGCAUACUAUUCAUGAUGGGUUUAUAAAUACUUAUUCAUUUGUCAAAUGGUCCAUCUAAGAAGGAAAAUACCUCUAAAUCAGAUGAUGAGUGUACUAACCUCCUUUCUUUGGUGGAGUUUGAAGUAGGGAGCAAAGGUGGGAAAUUGAAUCCACUGCUCUCCUGAACCUUAAACAAGUAAAAUCAGCAAGAAGAGAGAAAGAACAUAGUUGUAAAUCAAGCCAAGAGAAUAAGAACUUUCUUCUUUCAUAAAAUAAAAUUUAUUCUAAUAACUUCUCCUCUAAACUAUGACAUCCAACAUUUUAUAAGCCUAUGAAACCCUAAUUUAACUUGAGACUCAAGUAAAUAUUUAAUACUCUAAAACACCCCUAAAACAAUACAAAAAUUUCAAAAAUACCCAUGUGAACAGUAAUGCAUGAAUACUAACGCGUGAACUGUAACACAUAAAGAGUAAUGUGUGAAUAGUAAAUAAAUAAAAAAAAACCCUAGAAAUCCAAAAAACCUAGAAAUAAACCCUAAAACUAAAACUACAAUAUACAUCGUUGAAAUUGAAUAAAAAUACAAAAUAAGAAGAUUUUUUCCCUCAAUUAUUCUCCCGUUGUUGUAGAAAACUCGUCCUUGAGUUCUGAAGUGUGUUAAGAUGAAUUCAACAUCAAAACCCCAUUCUUUGACUUUCUUUUUCUUUGUCGGUUCAUAUACUAUUCGAGGUAAAAAAAAAUUCAUCAAGAAAUGUGUCCUGAUAGGGAUAAUGAGGAAUCCAUGCAAAUUUAUCAAUUUCAAUUAUUUGUAAACUCGCAUCGAAAGUCAUGUAAGAUACUUUUAAACUCAAUUUAUAGGCUUAGAGGUUUUCUCAACAUUUAUUUGAUCACUUUUUGAAAUCAGGGCCACAAUUUGCUGAUUCUGAGUCGAUCACACUUCAACUACACUACUCUGAUUUCAAUAACGUAAAUCUCCUAGAUGUUCUAGAUCUUUAUCUUUCUUCGUCAAAGAUCGGUUCACACACGAAAUCUUGAUCACCAUAAGAUAUUAGAUCUCUUCUAAAAUCUUGUUCAUCAUCUAAGUAUGUAUCAAAAUUGGUGGCAGAUCCCAAUCUACAACCUUCUGACUUUCAAUGCAACCUACACCAAGAUCAACUUCGUUUUCCUUCAAAUUAUGUAAAUCGACUAAAUCUUAUAAUUUAUUCUCCCGAACAUGAGGCUUCCAACAUGGAGCGCGUGCGUAGGACGGGUGGUUGAAGGCAACUUCAUCAUUCCGCUCCAACUCUGAGUUGGACUUUGAUUUGUGCCAUUCUCCAUAAAAACCCUUACAAUUUGGAUCUAUCCUUGUAGUUUCCUCUUUGUUUGGGGCAUGCUUUUGCUGGCACCGCUUGCGCAGCAGUAGGACUUGUUGAUUUCCUUGUGUAGUCGGAUCGGAUGGGCUUCCCUAUGGUUAAGACCUCUACGAUAAGGCAUUACAAUCUCCAGUCGUCCUCGAACCAUGCUCUGAUACCACUUGAUGCAGGGAGAAAUUGUGGGAAAUUGAAUCCACCGUUCUCCUGAACCUUAAACCAGUAAAAUUAGCAAGAAGAGAGAAAGAACAUGGCUGUAUUAUAUCAAGCCAAGAGAAGAAUAACUUUUCUCUUUCACAAAAUAAAAUUUAUUUCAGUAACAUCUCCUCUAAACUAUGACAUCCAACAUUUAUAAGCCUAUGAAACCCUUAACUUGUGACUGAAGUAAAUAUUUAAUAGUCUAAAUACCCCUAAAAAAUUAUCAAAAUUCUAAAAAUACCCCUGUGAUAAGUAAAACGUGAAUAGUAAUGUGUGAACAAUAACAUGUGAACAGUAACGUAUGAAUAGUAACACGUGAACAGUAACACAUGAACAAUAAUGAGUGAAUAGUAAAUAAAAAAAUAAAAACCCUAGAAAUCCUAAAAACCUAGAAAUAAACCCUAAAACUAAAACUACAAUAUACAUCAUUGAAAUUGAAUAAAAAUAAAAAAUAAAAAGACUUUUGCCCUCCAUCAAGUUUAUAGAAUGGUUGGUGGAGUCCAGAAUGUUGUAUGCAGUGGAGAAGCAGCAUGUUAGUUCAGUUCUACAAUAGUUAGGGCUAUUAAUGAGGGGUUAUUUUGAUAUCAUAUGGAUGAGCUUUCUGAGGGAUUACCAUCCAUAUGGGGCAUCCAACAUUACAUAGACCUCAUUUUUGGGUCUAGCCUACCAAAAAAGGCCACAAAUAGAAUCAGCCCAAAGAAGCAUAAAGAAUUAUAGAGACUGGUCACAAAGCUUCUACAUAUGGCGAUUAUUAGAGAGAAAGAGUCCAUGUGCUAUCCCGGCCUUAUUGACACCUAAAAUGGGACUUAGCGCAUGUGUGUAGACACAGGCCUAUUAACUAGAUCAUGAUCAAGUUCCACCUCCCAAUUCCAUGCCUUAAUGAUAUGUUAGUUAUGCUGGCCAGUAUUACUGUGUUUUUGAAGAUAGAUUUGAAAAGUGGGUACCACAAAAUUUGUAUUCGACUAGGGGAUAAGUAGAAGAUGACAUUUAAAACAUGUGAGGGUCUUUAUGAGUGGUUGUUGAUGCCAUUUGACCUCUCUAAUACUCCUAAUGCUUUUGUGAGGGUGAUGAAUCAAGUCUUUAAACAUUGUAUUGGUAAAUUUGUGGUGGUUCACUUUGUUGAUAGUCUAGUAUACAUUAUUGGUGAGCAGGCACAUAUAGAGCACUUGGUGUUUGACUUGUUACAUGGACAACUAUGUGUAAUUCUUAAAAGUGUGAGUUCAUGACAAACAAUCUUUAUUGGUUAUGUUUUCUUGCUAGAGAUGUAGAACAAAGAUAAAAGACAGAGAAAGGUAGAAACUAAGGAGUUCAAUUUGUUGGAAAUGUGGCCUAUCAAGCCCUUU